GAUGAAGAACGCAGCGAAAUGCGAUAAGUAAUGUGAAUUGCAGAAUUCAGUGAAUCAUCGAAUCUUUGAACGCACAUUGCGCCCCUUGGUAUUCCGAGGGGCAUGCCUGUUCGAGCGUCAUUAUAACCCCUCAAGCUCAGCUUGGUGUUGGGGCCUGCUGCACUGGCAGCCCUUAAAAUCAGUGGCGGCGCCAUCUGGCUCUAAGCGUAGUAAUUCUUCUCGCUAUGGAGUCCUGGUGGAUGCUUGCCAUCAACCCCCAAUUUUUCUAUGGUUGACCUCGGAUCAGGUAGGGAUACCCGCUGAACUUAAGCAUAUCAAUAAGCGGAG
Molecule: unclassified non-coding RNA, 327 nt
Filed under: soil metagenome
Description: partial contains 5.8S ribosomal RNA, internal transcribed spacer 2, and large subunit ribosomal RNA
Rfam family: 5.8S ribosomal RNA (bases 1-120)
Source: RNAcentral